ACAUGUUUAUGGCAGCCACCGAUCAACCUGAUCGAAGAGAUUUUUUAUUAUAACAUAAAAUAAGAUUUCUCCUAAUGCAGAGAGUGUCAUGAACGAUCAAUAAGAACCUUGAGCAUAGAUCUUGCAAUACAUAUUUAUAAGCAGCAGGUUGCGAACAAUGAACAGCAAUUUAAGGAGGAACCGGAAGUUCUUAUUGCUCAAGUGUGAAGCAUCUGGAUCAAGAAACACACGGUGCAACACGUUGAGUACAAUAGAGUUUGAAACAAAGAUGAUGAAUAGCAUUCAAUAAAGGAAAGUUUUUAAUGCUGAGAAGAAAUAUAUAGUAAAGUGACGGACCUGCUUACUACUAAAACAGAAAUCAUUUGGGUAAAGACGAUGAACUGCAUCACAAUGAGCAUAAACAAUGCUAUCCAGAUGGCACAUAAUAUCCGUCAUUUUUCAAAGAUCCGCAUUCUAACUCUAAUAAAUGUGUUCCUUCAUGAAAAGGGACUGUCACUGAAGCUAGCGGGCUGUGGGCAAUCGGAAGCUGCAAAUCCCAGACCCUACUGAAAGAACCAGCGGCCCCCUUGAUCGCCACUUUUCUAAUUCAGAUCAGUUUCAUCGCCACAUCCGAUAGCUGCUGCUCUUGAUACAUCGUGGACGAUUUCCCCCCUUUUAUCAUCAUUCCUUCAUUCUUACAAGAUCCCUCAAAACCUACGUCAAUACCCGAAAAGCUUUGCCUAAUCUCCAUGUAACAUUUGAAUAGAAAUCGACCAAAGAAGAAAAAAAAAUACAUUGAACAGGAACACAUGUGAAGGCUAUUUUUUUUCUAAUAAAACCUAGAUUACAAAAAGAACAGAAAAAACGAAUCCGCAUGCUAUCUGAUAAAAUAAAUUCAUAUAUAUAUAUUAUUACUAUUUUUCCAGGUAGGGUUUCUCAGGUGCCCCUCUUCUCCACAAUACAGGCAUUCAAAGGCAUGGGGACACACGUCGUUAAUUAUCUGGUGUAGCUUCUGUCGGGAGCGGGGCGGUACCUGUGAUGCAUUCCCUACCGAAGGUCGGAUAGAAGGAUUGGAUUAAAACGUCCGCAAACAGCAGAGAGGCGAAAGGAAGUACCCAGAUCUAUGCGUACUCUGAAAGAUAACAAUGGCAUUAACAGUGCGUGGGGGGGGGGGGGGGGGGGGGAAGAAUGUCACCUUCACACUAACGUCUCCAACCAAGAGGAAGAACUCCUNNNNNNNNNNNNNNNNNNNNGUCACUCAGUCGAAGACAGAUGACGACUGAAGUGGAGAGAGAGAGAGAGAGAGGACCCAAAGUCUGCGUGCCGUCCGUGACAAAGAAGAUGAGUUUUCUCACUUCACCCGUCGACGGGCGAGGGCACAUGAGCUGGCCGCCGUGCGGUGAUGACGGCGCUGGUCCGCCCUAGUUGGGGCCACCGCCAACGGGAGGAACUGCAUCAGCCGCAGCAGAGCGAGAAAGGAAAGAGCAAGCAGCGUUAGCUUUCCGCCGCCGCGUCGCUUGGCCCCACGGCGGAGCAGCGGCGGCGGAUUUCCGCCGGAGAAGGGUUGAUUGGAUUAGGCUUCCCAGCUCCCGCCCCGCUCGCCGCAGAGAGCUGCCGCUCAUGUGGAAAACGAGGCGUCUUGG
This 1622-nucleotide long non-coding RNA is filed under the name Spirodela polyrhiza (greater duckweed). RNAcentral's name for it is "long non-coding RNA (SPOL_LNC001245)". The record is from RNAcentral. Lineage: Eukaryota; Viridiplantae; Streptophyta; Magnoliopsida; Alismatales; Araceae.